RNAcentral lists this ribosomal RNA (253 nucleotides) under uncultured bacterium. RNAcentral's name for it is "partial 16S ribosomal RNA". It matches the Rfam family "Bacterial small subunit ribosomal RNA", at positions 524 to 776 of the family's 1533-position model. The record is from RNAcentral.
UACAGAGGUGGCAAGCGUUGUUCGGAAUUACUGGGCGUAAAGGGCGCGUAGGCGGUUCGUCAAGUCCUGUGUGAAAUCCCCCGGCUCAACUGGGGAACUGCACAGGAAACUAGCGGGCUUGAGUUCGGGAGAGGGAAGCGGAAUUCUCGGUGUAGCGGUGAAAUGCGUAGAUAUCGAGAGGAACACCUGCGGCGAAGGCGGGUUGCUGGGCUGAUACUGACGCUGAGGCGCGAAAGCCAGGGGAGCGAACGGG